AUUCAGCUGACGAGUCACAAAAAGGACGAAACACGCGUCCUGUAU
RNAcentral lists this non-coding RNA (45 nucleotides) under Schistosoma haematobium. The record is from RNAcentral. Lineage: Eukaryota; Metazoa; Platyhelminthes; Trematoda; Strigeidida; Schistosomatidae.